GAAGAACUCAUAUCUUUGACAUGGGCCGUAAAUAAGUUGGGCCUAUCAGUGUUGAAAGUCCAACAUUAGGUCAUCGUCGGUAUUGGAUGAGACGAGAACAUCAUUCGUACCGGAAAUUCUCCCGUAAUAAGAGUGAAUGGAGAAGAGGAUCACCCUGGUUCAAACCGUUGCCACCGCCGGCGUCUUCUCCGCCAUUUCCUUCUGGUAUGGAUUCAUGUUUGGCAGAGAAUCCUCUCGCAAAGAGCUCUCUCACCUAAUUGAAGAUCUCCGCCGCGAUGUUUUCAGAGAUUCAUAAACUUCUAAAGGCCUAUUGCUAGUUGCUACGGAUUCAAUGGGCUAGUGGCUCAGCAUCCUUUUCCUUACAUACCUAAUAAGCAAAAGAGAAAUUUUUAAUUGGAGGGAGUUUGUAAUGCAAAAGUAUAACAAUGGGCCACAAUUAGAGGUGUGUGUCAAGUUCUUAUGACUGGGAAUUGCUUGGUAGCGUUGCUCAAGUUAGUGCCAUUAAAAAUAUCUGUGUUUUCUUGGAGAGUUUUCCAAAAUAGGAUACCAUUAGAAGUUAAUAGGGGAAAACGAGGUGUUUUUUUAACAUGAUAUGGUUUAACGUGUCUUCGGAUGUGGGAUGGAAGAGGAUGUAUCAUACUUAUUUUUCGAAUGUCAUUUAAGUGUUGAAGUAUGGAAUGGUAUUUUGGAUUGGGUGGGUGUAUCCAAUGUAUAUUAAGGGAUUGGAAAAUUUCACUCAAUUCUUUUGGCUUCCUGUUGUGUGUAAUGGAUUUUUUCUACUAAUUGACCAUCAUGUUGAGACCAAUUAUAUCUGGCCGAGUUGCAGAUAUUUUGGAGGGUGCUAAGGCUAUUCUUUUUAUUAUUAUAUGUGGAUGUUAAUGCUAUAAAACUGAUGUGAAUAGUGUUCCUGUCAUCACAACAUAGAAUGAGGUGGAGCAAAAAUUUGGUGCUAUGAAAAAUGUUAUGGAAUGCUGCGGUAUGAAGAGCUGUUGUGCUGCCAGUCAUGGAGGUGAUGCAGUCUUGCUUAGGCGAUUGUUACUUGUUUGGGAUAGAGAAACAAAUUGGACUGGGAUUCUCCAAUUUGUGGUGCCGAUGUUACUCUAACUUUCAACUUCUGCAAAUCAGCAUAUGGAUCUUAAGUUUCAAAGGUGUCAGCAUAUGAAUCUUGAGUUUCAAACGGUGUCAUGUGUUAUACCGCCGCCCAAGUUUACCGUCCAAACAACCAUCACCAACUCUGAACACCAUCAUUUUGCUCGACUACCACUGUCGUUUUUACUCGAUCACUCCAAUUUUUCAUACGUUCUGGCUGUAGACUCUGACAACUAAAAUAUGGAAUGCAACCAACCUUAAUCAUAAGUUUGGUCAUCACAUUAUGACAAAGUCAAGAGUUUUUAGAACUUUAAAUUUCUUGUGGAAAAUAUAUUUUCGCGUGUUGUACAAGGCUUAGGCAUCGUAGAUUAGUAUAUGACUUGACUUUGUUUUCAUCUAAAUUGUCAUUUUGUAAGUUGUAACUUCAAAAUACAAAAGAUUGGAGAAUAAUCAUGUAUUCAGUGGGUCUGUGAAAUGUAUAUGUUCGUUUGAA
Molecule: RNA transcript, 1582 nt
Organism: Vicia villosa (hairy vetch)
Lineage: Eukaryota; Viridiplantae; Streptophyta; Magnoliopsida; Fabales; Fabaceae
Exons: 4
Source: RefSeq, a predicted model, not a curated record